UACGUAGGGUCCGAGCGUUGUCCGGAAUUACUGGGCGUAAAGCGCAUGUAGGCGGAUCCAUAAGUCGGGCGUGAAAUCCCCAGGCUCAACCUGGGAACUGCGCUCGAAACUGUGGGUCUUGAGUGUCGGAGAGGAUGGCGGAAUUCCUGGUGUAGAGGUGAAAUUCGUAGAUAUCAGGAGGAACACCGGUGGCGAAGGCGGCCAUCUGGACGACAACUGACGCUGAGAUGCGAAAGCGUGGGGAGCAAACAGG
This 253-nucleotide ribosomal RNA is filed under the name uncultured bacterium. RNAcentral describes it as "partial 16S ribosomal RNA". It matches the Rfam family "Bacterial small subunit ribosomal RNA", at positions 524 to 776 of the family's 1533-position model. The record is from RNAcentral.